AGGCUGCAGGGCUGGGACGUUGUCAGAGACCCCCGUGGCUUUGCUGCAGAGAGUCUCCUUCUUUAGGUCUCUCCCUGAGGACUGAGAGAGAAUUCUGGGUCAUGUCUGUGAGCACGAGGAGGAGACUCGUUGGAGUUUUCCCCGUUCCCACUGCUAACUGAGCGAGAAGACAGACAUCCCUGUGGAGAAGGAAUUUCUCUCUAACCACACAAGAGCUGGUUAUUAUUUCCUUGGACUGACAUACUCAAAGCCUGAGGGCAGAUGAAAGUGGAUCAGCAAUGAAGAACUGAACAGUGAUGUGUAGCUUCAUUCUUUUCUAACUCUGAAUUUCUCUCUAACCACACAAGAGCUGGUUAUUAUUUCCUUGGACUGACAUACUCAAAGCCUGAGGGCAGAUGAAAGUGGAUCAGCAAUGAAGAACUGAACAGUGAUGUGUAGCUUCAUUCUUUUCUAACUCUGUUUGAUAUACAAAAGAAUCUCCAUGACUAUGCCUGCGCUGUUAUUGGCUUUAAUAAGGUGGUGACUGCAGUUUGUUCUGAAUCCUCACACAUCCACUAUAUCUGUAAGAAGACCAUGGGAUAACUAUAGAUCCUCAAGAUGAGAAAAUUGCAGGCACAAGAACAUGCCUGGGUUAUCCAGAUGCCAACAAGGAUAUUUCUCUCUAUAAACAUCCUCAGCACAUGUACCCUCAUAUGCAUACAAACACAUACUCUUACGCAGGCACUCACAAACCUGUUUUCAUCUGAUCAUAAACAGCAAUGGCAUGAUCAUCAUGUCUGGUUGGACUACACACAGGACAAAUUCCAGACCUCUUUUCAUGUCACCACAGAGACCAACAGACAAACUUUCAGUGGGCAAGUGGUCUCUGAACAGAUGUUGAAAAAAAUGCAAAAAAUUAGUAAAA
This is a long non-coding RNA of Mauremys mutica (yellowpond turtle), 904 nucleotides long. RefSeq lists it as uncharacterized. The record is from RefSeq and is a predicted model, not a curated record. The transcript is spliced from 4 exons. Lineage: Eukaryota; Metazoa; Chordata; Testudines; Geoemydidae.